AACGAACGCUGGCGGCAUGCCUAACACAUGCAAGUCGAACGAGACCUUCGGGUCUAGUGGCGCACGGGUGCGUAACGCGUGGGAACCUGCCCUUAGGUUCGGAAUAACUCCCCGAAAGGGGUGCUAAUACCGGAUAAUGUCUUCGGACCAAAGAUUUAUCGCCUUUGGAUGGGCCCGCGUUGGAUUAGCUAGUUGGUAGGGUAAAAGCCUACCAAGGCGACGAUCCAUAGCUGGUCUGAGAGGAUGAUCAGCCACACUGGGACUGAGACACGGCCCAGACUCCUACGGGAGGCAGCAGUGGGGAAUAAUGGAAAAUGGGCGAAAGCCUGAUCCAGCAAUGCCGCGUGAGUGAUGAAGGCCUUAGGGUUGUAAAGCUCUUUUAACCGGGAUGAUAAUGACAGUACCGGGAGAAUAAGCUCCGGCUAACUCCGUG
RNAcentral lists this ribosomal RNA (433 nucleotides) under uncultured bacterium. RNAcentral's name for it is "partial 16S ribosomal RNA". It matches the Rfam family "Bacterial small subunit ribosomal RNA", at positions 29 to 507 of the family's 1533-position model. The record is from RNAcentral.